This 445-nucleotide ribosomal RNA is filed under the name uncultured bacterium. RNAcentral's name for it is "partial 16S ribosomal RNA". It matches the Rfam family "Bacterial small subunit ribosomal RNA", at positions 354 to 796 of the family's 1533-position model. The record is from RNAcentral.
GUGAGGAAUAUUGGACAAUGGGCGCAAGCCUGAUCCAGCCAUGCCGCGUGCAGGAAGACGCAUCUAUGGUGUGUAAACUGCUUUUGUAUGGGAAGAAACACUCCCUCGUGAGGGAGCUUGACGGUACCGUAAGAAUAAGGAUCGGCUAACUCCGUGCCAGCAGCCGCGGUAAUACGGAGGAUCCAAGCGUUAUCCGGAAUCAUUGGGUUUAAAGGGUCCGUAGGCGGUUUAAUAAGUCAGUGGUGAAAGCCCAUCGCUCAACGAUGGAACGGCCAUUGAUACUGUUAGACUUGAAUUACAAGGAAGUAACUAGAAUAUGUAGUGUAGCGGUGAAAUGCUUAGAUAUUACAUGGAAUACCAAUUGCGAAGGCAGGUUACUACUUGUGGAUUGACGCUGAUGGACGAAAGCGUGGGGAGCGAACAGGAUUAGAAACCCCAGUAGUCC